UACAGAGGAGCCAAGCGUCGUCCGGAAUCAUUGGGUUUAAAGGGUCCGUAGGCGGCCCCGUAAGUCAGUGGUGAAAUCUCCCGGCUCAACCGGGAAAUUGCCAUUGAUACUGCAGGACUUGAAUUAUUGGGAAGUAACUAGAAUAUGUAGUGUAGCGGUGAAAUGCUUAGAUAUUACAUGGAAUACCGAUUGCGAAGGCAGGUUACUAUCAAUACAUUGACGCUGAUGGACGAAAGCGUGGGGAGCAAACAGG
This 253-nucleotide ribosomal RNA is filed under the name uncultured bacterium. RNAcentral's name for it is "partial 16S ribosomal RNA". It matches the Rfam family "Bacterial small subunit ribosomal RNA", at positions 524 to 776 of the family's 1533-position model. The record is from RNAcentral.